CACAGGUGCUGCAUGGCUGUCGUCAGCUCGUGUCGUGAGAUGUUCGGGUUAAGUCCCGCAACGAGCGCAACCUUGUCAUUAGUUGCCAGUCAUUUAGUUGGGCACUCUAAUGAGACUGCCGGUGACAAACCGGAGGAAGGUGGGGAUGACGUCAAGUCCUCAUGGCCCUUAUGGGUAGGGCUUCACACGUCAUACAAUGGUCGGUACAGAGGGUUGCCAAGCCGCGAGGUGGAGCCAAUCCCUUAAAGCCGAUCGUAGUCCGGAUCGUAGUCUGCAACUCGACUGCGUGAAGUCGGAAUCGCUAGUAAUCGUGGAUCAGAAUGUCACGGUGAAUACGUUCCCGGGUCUU
This 349-nucleotide ribosomal RNA is filed under the name uncultured Rhodocyclaceae bacterium. Its description in RNAcentral is "bacterial SSU rRNA". It matches the Rfam family "Bacterial small subunit ribosomal RNA", at positions 1033 to 1382 of the family's 1533-position model. Lineage: Bacteria; Pseudomonadati; Pseudomonadota; Betaproteobacteria; Rhodocyclales; Rhodocyclaceae. The record is from RNAcentral.